GGAGAUGAUCCCCUUGUCGCCUUGGCGCUAGAGGGGGAGGCUUGCUAAUUUAACCACAGAUGUGUGUGUGUGUGUUUGGGUGUGUGUGGGGGGGGGUGUGGGGGUGUGCCAGUCACUGAGAAGAUGUGUGUGUGUCAUGAUCAUGCAAAAUAACUCCAGCUUCACAGUUGCAAAGGAAAUGAGAAGGUUCACACAACAGAGACACGACCAUCAUCAGAGGUCACAUGGCUUGAGCAACUCUAUUUUCCAUGAAUGAACAGAACUGUGUUGUGCUAAAUUGGAAUGUGAGAGGAUUGAAUGCGAAAGCAAGAAGGAAGGUAGUUAAAGACCUUGUCAAGGAUACCAACACACAAUCAUUUGCCUCCAGGAGACUAAGCUUGAAGAAAUCACUGAACUACUAGUGACUGA
Molecule: long non-coding RNA, 408 nt
Filed under: Setaria viridis
Lineage: Eukaryota; Viridiplantae; Streptophyta; Magnoliopsida; Poales; Poaceae
Description: long non-coding RNA (SVIR_LNC001122)
Source: RNAcentral